AGCAUUAAGCAUCUCGCUCUUCAUAUUUACACACAAAGUUCUCUUCCUCAUCUCUCUCUGGAUCUAAAUUAGUAUCUACACCAACGGAACUUUGAUCUCGAUUCGACGUUAAUCUCGUCGCAAAUCUAAUCUUCGAAAAUGCCGCUCAGACUUGAAAUCAAGAGAAAACUUGCUCAAAGAUCAGAGAGAGUUAAGUCUGUGGAUUUACAUCCAACUGAACCAUGGAUUCUAGCGAGUUUGUAUUCUGGAACUGUGUGUAUUUGGAACUACCAGUCUCAGACUAUGGCUAAGUCAUUUGAGGUCACUGAGUUGCCAGUUAGGUCAGCAAAGUUUGUAGCACG
This is a long non-coding RNA of Pistacia vera, 341 nucleotides long. RefSeq lists it as uncharacterized. NCBI's taxonomy places the organism in Eukaryota, Viridiplantae, Streptophyta, Magnoliopsida, Sapindales, Anacardiaceae. The record is from RefSeq and is a predicted model, not a curated record. The transcript has 6 exons.